This 132-nucleotide small RNA is filed under the name Klebsiella quasipneumoniae. RNAcentral describes it as "RtT sRNA". It matches the Rfam family "RtT RNA". From Rfam's summary of the family: This family represents a bacterial cis-regulatory element known as RtT RNA. The exact function of RtT is unknown although it is thought that it may be involved in changing the cellular response in relation to amino acid starvation. The record is from RNAcentral. RNAcentral also lists the same sequence under 1 other name. Lineage: Bacteria; Pseudomonadati; Pseudomonadota; Gammaproteobacteria; Enterobacterales; Enterobacteriaceae.
UAUUCUGCCCUACGGGGAAGGAUGAGAAGCUUCGACUAAGGUUCGACUCGAGCGUAGCGAGAGAACGUUGCCGCAAGCAACGGCCCGAAGGGCGAGGCGCUUUAGCGCCGAGUCAUCCUUCCCCCACCAUUC